CCUACGGGACGCAGCAGUGAGGAAUAUUUUUCAGUGUACGCAAGUCUGAACCAGCCAUGCCGCGUGCAGGAUGACGGCUCUAUGAGUUGUAAACUGCUUUUGUACGAGGGUAAACCCCGAUACGUGUAUCGGGUUGAAAGUAUCGUACGAAUAAGGAUCGGCUAACUCCGUGCCAGCAGCCGCGGUAAUACGGAGGAUCCGAGCGUUAUCCGGAUUUAUUGGGUUUAAAGGGUGCGUAGGCGGGCUUUUAAGUCAGCGGUAAAAAUUCGGGGCUCAACCCCGUCCGGUCGUUGAAACUGGGGGCC
RNAcentral lists this ribosomal RNA (305 nucleotides) under uncultured bacterium. RNAcentral describes it as "bacterial SSU rRNA". It matches the Rfam family "Bacterial small subunit ribosomal RNA", at positions 338 to 641 of the family's 1533-position model. The record is from RNAcentral.